RNAcentral lists this ribosomal RNA (253 nucleotides) under uncultured bacterium. RNAcentral's name for it is "partial 16S ribosomal RNA". It matches the Rfam family "Bacterial small subunit ribosomal RNA", at positions 524 to 776 of the family's 1533-position model. The record is from RNAcentral.
UACGAAGGUCCCAAGCGUUGUUCGGAAUCACUGGGCGUAAAGGGCGCGUAGGCGGCGUGGUAAGUCAGAUGUGAAAUCCCGGGGCUCAACCCCGGAACUGCAUCCGAUACUGCCAUGCUAGAGGAUUGGAGAGGUAGCUGGAAUUCUUGGUGUAGCAGUGAAAUGCGUAGAGAUCAAGAGGAACACGCGUGGCGAAAGCGAGCUACUGGACAAUUCCUGACGCUGAGGCUCGAAGGCCAGGGUAGCGAAAGGG